RNAcentral lists this transfer RNA (73 nucleotides) under Camelus bactrianus (Bactrian camel). It matches the Rfam family "tRNA". Rfam says of the family: Transfer RNA (tRNA) molecules are approximately 80 nucleotides in length. Their secondary structure includes four short double-helical elements and three loops (D, anti-codon, and T loops). RNAcentral also lists the same sequence under 2 other names. Lineage: Eukaryota; Metazoa; Chordata; Mammalia; Artiodactyla; Camelidae. The record is from Rfam by way of RNAcentral.
GAGGGCAUAGCACAAGUGGUAGAGCACAUGCUUAGGACGCACAAGGUCCUGGGUUCAAUCCCCAGGGCCGUCU